GACGAACGCUGGCGGCGUGCUUAACACAUGCAAGUCGAACGAAGCUUGAUUACGGAUUCUUCGGAUGAAGUAUGAUAUGACUGAGUGGCGGACGGGUGAGUAACGCGUGAGUAACCUGCCCUUCAGAGGGGGAUAGCGUUUGGAAACGAACGGUAAUACCGCAUAAUGUAUUUUGACCGCAUGAUCGAAAUACCAAAGAUUUAUCGCUGAAGGAUGGACUCGCGUCUGAUUAGGUAGUUGGUGGGGUAACGGCCUACCAAGCCGACGAUCAGUAGCCGGACUGGGAGGUUGAUCGGCCACAUUGGGACUGAGACACGGCCCAGACUCCUACGGGAGGCAGCAGUGGGGAAUAUUGCACAAUGGGCGCAAGCCUGAUGCAGCAACGCCGCGUGAAGGAAGACGGUUUUCGGAUUGUAAACUUCUGUUCUUAGUGAAGAAUAAUGACGGUAGCUAAGGAGCAAGCCACGGCUAACUACGUG
This 479-nucleotide ribosomal RNA is filed under the name uncultured bacterium. RNAcentral describes it as "partial 16S ribosomal RNA". It matches the Rfam family "Bacterial small subunit ribosomal RNA", at positions 28 to 507 of the family's 1533-position model. The record is from RNAcentral.